Molecule: ribosomal RNA, 253 nt
Filed under: uncultured bacterium
Lineage: Bacteria
Description: partial 16S ribosomal RNA
Rfam family: Bacterial small subunit ribosomal RNA
Source: RNAcentral
CACGUAGGGCGCAAGCGUUGUCCGGAAUUACUGGGUGUAAAGGGUUCGUAGGCGGUGCGGCAAGUUGGGAGUGAAAUCUCUGGGCUUAACCCAGAGGCUGCUUCCAAAACUGCUGUGCUUGAGUGUGGGAGAGGCGCGUGGAAUUGCAGGUGUAGCGGUGAAAUGCGUAGAUAUCUGCAGGAACACCCGUGGCGAAAGCGGCGCGCUGGACCACUACUGACGCUGAGGAACGAAAGCUAGGGGAGCAAACAGG